RNAcentral lists this long non-coding RNA (1377 nucleotides) under Apteryx haastii (Great spotted kiwi). RNAcentral's name for it is "lncRNA (ENSAHAG00000016040.1)". Lineage: Eukaryota; Metazoa; Chordata; Aves; Apterygiformes; Apterygidae. The record is from RNAcentral.
AAUAUACAGGGAACACCUGGCUGCGAGAAUAAAUACCACCAGUCCAGCUCUUGCGUUUGGCGACGGUUGGUGCCGGCGGCAGGGAGAGCAGGUGGGACGGAGCAGUGCUUCUCGGGCGGGUUUCGGAGCUGCAGCAGCCGGUCCAGGCGGAGCAGAAGCGGGCGCGCGCCCAAGCCCUCAGGGAGUGGAGGCUCCAGUGGGGACCGCGACCCCUUCCCCUUCCCCUUCCCCUUCCCCGCCACGCGCCGCGAUGCUGACGCUGAGGUGCAGCGUGCCGCAGCUGGAGCGCAGCACCCAGGCGCCCCGGUAGGGCAGCCCCGGCCCCGGGGCCCCGGGCAGGCGCAGGCUGAGCUGCCGGCAGCCCCUGGCGUCGCAGGCCACGUGCACACUGCCCUCGGCAUCGCUGUAGGCGCACUGCCCCGGCGCCUCCUCCUCCUCCUCCUCCUCCUCCUCCGGCGCCGGCUCCCCCGGGGCGCCCCGGCACGGCAGCUGCUGCUCCGCUGCCUCCAGGAGGGAGCGUCCCUGGAGGGGAGCCGGCUCGGCGCAGGAGGCCGGCGCGUGGGCCAGGGGGUCGGUGAAGCCCUGCAGCCAGCCCAGGAGGUAGGCGAGGCGGCAGUCGCACACCCAGGGGUUGCCCGCCAGCCCCACGCGCACCAGCUCGCCGUUGGCGUCGAAGAGCCCCGGGGGCAGGCGCGGCAGGCGGUUGUGCUCCAGCGCCAGCGCCGCCAGGCGGGCGAGCCCCGCGAAGAGGCCGGGCGCCAGGCUGGAGAGGUGGUUGUGGCUCAGCCGCAGCGCCGUGAGCCUGGAGAGGCCCCGGAAAGCCCCGGCGGGGAGGUGCGCCAGGCUGUUGUGCGAGAGCGCGAGGGUCUGCACCUCCGAGAGGUUGGCGAAGACGCCCUCGGGCACCGUCUCCAGCCGGUUACGGGCCACCGAGAGGUCGAGGAGCUGCGGGGUGCCCUGGAAGAGGGCGGCAGGCAGGGCGGCGAGGCGGUUGCCCUCCAGGCUGAGGGAGGUGAGGUUGGGGAGGCAGGAGAAGACGGCGGGGUGCAGGCUGCCCAAGGCGUUGUGCUGCAGCUGCAGCCGCCGCAGCCUCCCGAGGCCGGCGAAGGCGCCGCGUGGCAGCUCUGCCAGCCGGUUGCCGUCCAGGUGGAGCUCGCUGAGGUGCCCCAGGCUGCUGAAGUCACCGGGCGGCACCUGGGCCAGCAGGUUGUCGCUCAGUUUCAGGAUGCGGAGGGAGGUGAGGGGGGCGAAGAGCCCCGGCGGCAGCUCAGCCAYGGCGUUCUGGGAGAGGUCCAAGGUGUGGAGGUGCCGGAGCGGGUGGAAGAUCUCAGGGGGAAGCACCUCGAUCUUGUUCCUCCGCAAACGCAGGUCCUGUAG